AAGUCGUAACAAGGUUUCCGUAGGUGAACCUGCGGAAGGAUCAUUAACACUUACUGUUUUUUAAUAGUUUUUACAAACUUUAACAAACAUGUAUUUCAACAAACUCGUGCUCCCUUUUUUUCCAAACCUUAAAACAUUUUUAAAUUUUAUUUUUAACAGUUUUCCAUUUUUUAGCUUUUUUUUGUUUUCGAACGAAAAAACACUAAUAACGGAAAUGUAAGUAAUAACAAUGUUAUAGUGUUGUCAUGAUAUUAUAACAGGUUAAACAAACAACUGUUAACAAUGGAUAUCUAGGCUCUC
RNAcentral lists this unclassified non-coding RNA (300 nucleotides) under fungal sp. RNAcentral's name for it is "partial internal transcribed spacer region". The stretch from base 1 to 46 matches the Rfam family "Eukaryotic small subunit ribosomal RNA", at positions 1786 to 1831 of the family's 1831-position model. The record is from RNAcentral. Lineage: Eukaryota; Fungi.